UACGGAGGGUGCAAGCGUUAUCCGGAUUCACUGGGUUUAAAGGGUGCGUAGGAGGGCAGGUAAGUCAGUGGUGAAAUCCUAGGGCUUAACCCUAGAACUGCCGUUGAUACUAUCGGUCUUGAAUACCGUGGAGGUGAGCGGAAUAUGUCAUGUAGCGGUGAAAUGCUUAGAUAUGACAUAGAACACCAAUUGCGAAGGCAGCUUGCUACACGUUUUAUUGACUCUGAGGCACGAAAGCGUGGGGAUCAAACAGG
This 254-nucleotide ribosomal RNA is filed under the name uncultured bacterium. Its description in RNAcentral is "partial 16S ribosomal RNA". It matches the Rfam family "Bacterial small subunit ribosomal RNA", at positions 524 to 776 of the family's 1533-position model. The record is from RNAcentral.